GUUAUGGCGUCACAGAGGCGGAGUAGGGGCGGUGCGAACGGCACGGGCAGGUGGUGCGGUGCCCCUACAUAACGGGUUUGAGGCUGUGGAGCCCGAUGGAGAGUUUGUACCUGAAAGAACAGACUGAGGAAUUCUGAGAAGUUCUUCAUUAUUCUUUCUGAUAAAAUACAUAGGGGAAGACAAGAAAACUGAAAUAGCAUGAAGGAUUGGCCUGCUCAAAUUCAGCUUGAAAACUGUGGCAAAGUUUGAAAAUGAAUCUUUACCCCUGAAUCUUUAUUGAAGCUCAGUCUUUUAUAAUAUGAAGAACCAGAAAGAGCUACUUCUCUGCAGAAACUGCACAUCUACAAGAGUGCUUGUAGUCUUGAUAAAGGAAGUUUAAGGCUAAUCUAUCAUGGAUUUUUAAUAGCUGUCAGCAGGAGAAAGAAUUCUGGCAGGUCAGCAUUGUGGGCACUAUACAAUAAGAAAGAUUCAUGGUCUACAGAUAUAAAUAUUGUCACCUUUACACCUGUCUGGUACAUACGACUUUGA
This 528-nucleotide long non-coding RNA is filed under the name Coturnix japonica (Japanese quail). RNAcentral describes it as "lncRNA (ENSCJPG00005004613.1)". The record is from RNAcentral. Lineage: Eukaryota; Metazoa; Chordata; Aves; Galliformes; Phasianidae.